Molecule: long non-coding RNA, 418 nt
Filed under: Olea europaea subsp. europaea
Lineage: Eukaryota; Viridiplantae; Streptophyta; Magnoliopsida; Lamiales; Oleaceae
Source: RNAcentral
UGGACUCAUCCCGACCCUCAAUGGUCAAUUAUUUCUCUCUUCUCUCAUGGGAUACACACCCCCAAACUUGAUUUUGUAACUAUUUUUCCAAGGUGUGAUUUAUAGUUAAAUUUAUAUGCCAUUACUUACCCUCUCUAGUUUGGUUAGAUUUUACUAAUUGUAGCUCAACACAUCAAUAAAUGAGGAUUCUCCUUAAUUUUGAUUGAUACAACCUCCAAGAAUCAACUAAGCUACUAAUCCCUUAUCAAAUGUCUAAUUCUCUAAAAUAAGUGUUUGGGACUUAAUCAAGGCAUGUAGUGCGUCUUCUGUUUCAUGCACCUGCUUUUUUUAAGUUUGCCGUGCGUAUUCUGUUUCAUGCACUAGCCUAUCUCUUUUUAUGUAUAUAAUUGUCCUCAUUGGGCUCUUUUAGAGUAGCUUC